Etheostoma spectabile (orangethroat darter) is the source of this 88-nucleotide long non-coding RNA. RefSeq lists it as uncharacterized. The transcript has 3 exons. NCBI's taxonomy places the organism in Eukaryota, Metazoa, Chordata, Actinopteri, Perciformes, Percidae. The record is from RefSeq and is a predicted model, not a curated record.
GUGGGGGAGGGACAAUGCUCGUUUGAGAUGAACUGGCCUCGCCUGUAAAGUGGACGAGAGUAGGCGGCAGCAGCCAGGGGCGGGGACA